This 620-nucleotide ribosomal RNA is filed under the name Micrococcaceae bacterium NiB10. RNAcentral's name for it is "bacterial SSU rRNA". It matches the Rfam family "Bacterial small subunit ribosomal RNA", at positions 78 to 697 of the family's 1533-position model. Lineage: Bacteria; Bacillati; Actinomycetota; Actinomycetes; Micrococcales; Micrococcaceae. The record is from RNAcentral. RNAcentral also lists the same sequence under 1 other name.
GCUUGCUGGGUGGAUUAGUGGCGCCCGGGUGAGUAACACGUGAGUAACCUGCCCUUGACUCUGGGAUAAGCCUGGGAAACUGGGUCUAAUACUGGAUAUGACUGCUCCGCGCAUGCGGUGGUGGUGGAAAGUUUUUGCGGUUUUGGAUGGACUCGCGGCCUAUCAGCUUGUUGGUGGGGUAAUGGCCUACCAAGGCGACGACGGGUAGCCGGCCUGAGAGGGUGACCGGCCACACUGGGACUGAGACACGGCCCAGACUCCUACGGGAGGCAGCAGUGGGGAAUAUUGCACAAUGGGCGCAAGCCUGAUGCAGCGACGCCGCGUGAGGGAUGACGGCCUUCGGGUUGUAAACCUCUUUUCAGUAGGGAAGAAGCUUUCGGGUGACGGUACCUGCAAAAAAACGCCCGGCUAACUACGUGCCCAGCACCCGCGGUAAUACGUAGGGCCCAAGCGUUAUCCGGGAAUUAAUUGGGCGUAAAGAGCUCGAAGGCGGGUUUGUCGCGUCUGCUUGUGAAAGACCGGGGUUCAACUCCCGGUUUCUGCAGUGGGUACGGGCCAAACUAAAUGGUGGUAGGGGAAAACGGAAAUUCCCCGGGGGAACGGGGGAAAUGCCCAAAAAU